CUUGGGCUACAUCUAAGGCCUGUCUGUGAUGCUCUGGUUUAUAGAUCUGUAUUGGUGUUCAGAAGUGGGAUACCGCAGCAAACACAUCCAUGGACAAUUAGCAAUUUGCUACACAACUGGACAACCGUACUAAAAGGUAAAAGCGUACACCUGGUAUACUGGACAUUGCUACAAAGGCUGGAUACUGUCUAUAACAAUGUUAAUGGAACAAAGCAAAAUCAUUCAAAACCAAAAUCAUUUAAGGGUAUCUGUUCCAAAGGUUGAUGCGAGAUAAAAGCGCCAGUGCAUAAAAUGAAGAUGAAGACAGUGAAGAUAUUCUGGAUAUUAUA
Pseudophryne corroboree (corroboree frog) is the source of this 329-nucleotide long non-coding RNA. RefSeq lists it as uncharacterized. The transcript is spliced from 2 exons. The record is from RefSeq and is a predicted model, not a curated record. NCBI's taxonomy places the organism in Eukaryota, Metazoa, Chordata, Amphibia, Anura, Myobatrachidae.